Molecule: ribosomal RNA, 468 nt
Filed under: uncultured bacterium
Lineage: Bacteria
Description: partial 16S ribosomal RNA
Rfam family: Bacterial small subunit ribosomal RNA
Source: RNAcentral
GACGAACGCUGGCGGCGUGCUUAACACAUGCAAGUCGAACGGAAAGGCCCUGCUUUUGUGGGGUGCUCGAGUGGCGAACGGGUGAGUAACACGUGAGUAACCUGCCCUUGACUUUGGGAUAACUUCAGGAAACUGGGGCUAAUACCGGAUAGGAGCUCCUGCUGCAUGGUGGGGGUUGGAAAGUUUCGGCGGUUGGGGAUGGACUCGCGGCUUAUCAGCUUGUUGGUGGGGUAGUGGCUUACCAAGGCUUUGACGGGUAGCCGGCCUGAGAGGGUGACCGGCCACAUUGGGACUGAGAUGCGGCCCAGACUCCUACGGGAGGCAGCAGUGGGGAAUAUUGCACAAUGGGCGGAAGCCUGAUGCAGCAACGCCGCGUGCGGGAUGACGGCCUUCGGGUUGUAAACCGCUUUCGCCUGUGACGAAGCGUGGGUGACGGUAAUGGGUAAAGAAGCACCGGCUAACUACGUG